This 722-nucleotide ribosomal RNA is filed under the name uncultured bacterium. RNAcentral describes it as "bacterial SSU rRNA". It matches the Rfam family "Bacterial small subunit ribosomal RNA", at positions 37 to 796 of the family's 1533-position model. The record is from RNAcentral.
CGGCGGUAUGCUUAAGACAUGCAAGUCGGACGGCAAGGCACUUCGGUGCCCGGAGUGGCGGACGGGUGAGUAACACGUGGGAACCUACCCAAUAGUGGGGGACAGCCCAGCGAAAGCUGGAUUAAUACCGCAUACGCCCCACGGGGGAAAGCAGCAAUGCGCUAUUGGAUGGGCCCGCGUAAGAUUAGCUAGUUGGUAAGGUAAAGGCUUACCAAGGCGACGAUCUUUAGCUGGUCUGAGAGGAUGGCCAGCCACAUCGGGACUGAGACACGGCCCGGACUCCUACGGGAGGCAGCAGUCGGGAAUAUUGGACAAUGGGCGCAAGCCUGAUCCAGCAAUACCGCGUGUGUGAAGAAGGCCUGCGGGUUGUAAAGCACUUUCAGUUGGGAAGAUAAUGACGUUACCAACAGAAGAAGCACCGGCUAACUCCGUGCCAGCAGCCGCGGUAAUACGGAGGGUGCAAGCGUUAAUCGGAAUUACUGGGCGUAAAGCGUGCGUAGGCGGCCUGUUAAGUCAGAUGUGAAAGCCCCGGGCUCAACCUGGGAACUGCAUCUGAUACUGGCAGGCUAGAAUUUAGGAGAGGGGAGUGGAAUUUCCGGUGUAGCGGUGAAAUGCAUAGAGAUCGGAAGGAACAUCAGUGGCGAAGGCGGCUCCCUGGACUAAAAUUGACGCUGAGGCACGAAAGCGUGGGUAGCAAACAGGAUUAGAUACCCUGGUAGUCC